This is a non-coding RNA of Acanthosepion pharaonis, 100 nucleotides long. The record is from the annotation of a GenBank genome assembly. Lineage: Eukaryota; Metazoa; Mollusca; Cephalopoda; Sepiida; Sepiidae.
UUACGGUCAAAUCACGCUGAAAAACCGGUUCUCGUUCGAUCACCGAAGUUAAGCAUCGUAGAGCGAUGGGGGACCGCUUGGGAACACCUGGUACUGUAAG